RNAcentral lists this ribosomal RNA (253 nucleotides) under uncultured bacterium. RNAcentral describes it as "partial 16S ribosomal RNA". It matches the Rfam family "Bacterial small subunit ribosomal RNA", at positions 524 to 776 of the family's 1533-position model. The record is from RNAcentral.
UACAGAGGUGGCAAGCGUUGUUCGGAAUUACUGGGCGUAAAGGGCGCGUAGGCGGCUUGGUCAGUCCCGUGUGAAAUCCCUCGGCUCAACUGAGGAACUGCACGGGAAACUGCCUGGCUUGAGUUCGGGAGAGGGAAGCGGAAUUCCGGGUGUAGCGGUGAAAUGCGUAGAUAUCCGGAGGAACACCGGUGGCGAAGGCGGCUUCCUGGACCGACACUGACGCUGAGGCGCGAAAGCUAGGGGAGCAAACAGG